RNAcentral lists this ribosomal RNA (745 nucleotides) under uncultured Tomentella. Its description in RNAcentral is "eukaryotic LSU rRNA". The stretch from base 248 to 402 matches the Rfam family "5.8S ribosomal RNA". Lineage: Eukaryota; Fungi; Basidiomycota; Agaricomycetes; Thelephorales; Thelephoraceae. The record is from RNAcentral.
AAGUCGUAACAAGGUUUCCGUAGGUGAACCUGCGGAAGGAUCAUUACCGAAUUGUCAACACGAGUUGUUGCUGGUCCUCAAAACGGGGGCAUGUGCACGCUCUGUUUACACAUCCACUCACACCUGUGCACCCUCUGUAGUUCUGUGGCAUGGGGGACUCUGUCCUCCUGUUGUGGUCCUACGUCUUUACACACACUCUGUAAUAAAGUCUCAUGGAAUGCAUGACGCGUUUAACGCAAUACAAUACAACUUUCAGCAACGGAUCUCUUGGCUCUCGCAUCGAUGAAGAACGCAGCGAAAUGCGAUAAGUAAUGUGAAUUGCAGAAUUCAGUGAAUCAUCGAAUCUUUGAACGCACCUUGCGCCCUUUGGCUAUUCCGAAGGGCAUGCCUGUUUGAGUAUCAUGAACACCUCAACUCUCAUGGUUUGCCAUGAUGAGCUUGGACUUUGGAGGUCUUGCCGGCCUACGGUCGGCUCCUCUCNAAUGGAUCAGCUUGCCAGUGUUUGGUGGCAUCAUGGGUGUGAUAACUAUCUACGCCUGUGGUUUUCCACCGGAUAACCUUCAGUGAUGGAGGUUCGCUGGAGCUCAUAAAUGUCUCUCCUCAGUGAAGACAGCUUUUUGAACGUUUGAUCUCAAAUCAGGUAGGACUACCCGCUGAACUUAAGCAUAUCAAUAAGCGGAGGAAAAGAAACUAACAAGGAUUCCCCUAGUAACUGCGAGUGAAGCGGGAAGAGCUCAAAUUUAAA